RNAcentral lists this ribosomal RNA (711 nucleotides) under bacterium 45-L049393-122-001-E06. RNAcentral describes it as "bacterial SSU rRNA". It matches the Rfam family "Bacterial small subunit ribosomal RNA", at positions 56 to 779 of the family's 1533-position model. The record is from RNAcentral.
UGCAGUCGCACGAUGACGGAGGAGCUUGCUCCUCCUGAUUAGUGGCGAACGGGUGAGUAAUACGUGAGCAAUGUGCCCUUGACUCUGGGAUAAGCGCUGGAAACGGCGUCUAAUACCGGAUACGACGAUCGGAGGCAUCUCCUGGUCGUGGAAAGAACUUCGGUCAAGGAUCAGCUCACGGCCUAUCAGUUAGUUGGUGAGGUAAUGGCUCACCAAGACGACGACGGGUAGCCGGCCUGAGAGGGUGACCGGCCACACUGGGACUGAGACACGGCCCAGACUCCUACGGGAGGCAGCAGUGGGGAAUAUUGCACAAUGGGCGCAAGCCUGAUGCAGCAACGCCGCGUGAGGGACGAAGGCCUUCGGGUUGUAAACCUCUUUUAGCAGGGAAGAAGCGAAAGUGACGGUACCUGCAGAAAAAGCACCGGCUAACUACGUGCCAGCAGCCGCGGUAAUACGUAGGGUGCAAGCGUUGUCCGGAAUUAUUGGGCGUAAAGAGCUCGUAGGCGGUUUGUCACGUCUGCUGUGAAAACCCGAGGCUCAACCUCGGGCUUGCAGUGGGUACGGGCAGACUAGAGUGCGGUAGGGGAGAUUGGAAUUCCUGGUGUAGCGGUGGAAUGCGCAGAUAUCAGGAGGAACACCGAUGGCGAAGGCAGAUCUCUGGGCCGUAACUGACGCUGAGGAGCGAAAGCAUGGGGAGCAAACAGGCUU